GAAGGACUGACCCCAAGGUGCCAAGUCCUGGAAAUAUAAGGAACUUCCUGUCUAAUAUCAGACUGACCUGCUCUUCUUUUGCCAACACCCAUAGCACUAGCCUUAAUUCACUGAAUCACCCAAAGAUAUUCCCUGCUGUGCUGGAUGAAAAGAGGAGCUGAUCCAGCUAAGCAGGAAUAACGCACCAUUAAGCUGCAAACGGUUGAAUAAAACUGGAUUACUGGUAUCUUUCACAUUAUAAAAGCACAAGAAUGAAAAGCACCAGUACUCCCACUACCAAGUUAUCAAUCAGUAUCUAUUUCCUUUGAGCCUUGUUCAACGCAAAAAUAGGUGUUGAUCUUUUCAUAAACAAUAUCAUAGCCUAUAUAUUCUUUAGAGUUUGCCUUUACACUUUUUAUACAGCAAACUGCUCCACGUGUCAUUAUGAGUUCUUCUACAAUAUGAUUUUUAAUCACCUUUACCUCCAGGCCAUCAUAUGUCUACACCCUAAUAUCCACAUUCUCUUUCUUCUUUGGCUUCCUUCUUUCUUUCCCACUAUAAAUAACACUGGGAUGAACAUCCCUGAAGAUCGAUAAAUAUUUGCACACACCCUGAUUUUUUUUGUCAGGAUAAAUUCCUAGAACUGAAAUUCAGGAGGAUUUAACCACAGUUGCUAAGACCGCCUUUCUAAGACCCAUUUUGAUGUCAGCGAUGUUUCACUGUCUCAUCUGGUUGGGCAACUCUCAGUCAGGUUUCCCAAACAAUAACCCAUUGUCUGACUCAAUAAGAGAACUUGAACAUCUCUUCUUCUGAAAUAUUCAUAGGUUUUUGUUUUCAUCCUUCUACCAUCGCAAGCACUUAAAAACACAGCCCAGAGAAGUGGCAUUUUUCUUUCAGAAAUUGAAUUGUUUCAUGCACAUCUGAACUCCAAGAAAUGACUUGUUUUCGGACCCCCAGAUGGCCAUGGAGGUAGCCAGGUGGCCAAGAAUUUCAGUUAGAGAAAACUCCAUUUGCUUCCCAUCCAAGAUGAUCGCACAUUUUCCAGGGCCUUUGCAUAUGAUGUCCCUUGGACCCCUCUCCCCAGGUCCCGCCAGCACCUCCUUCGGAUCUGGAUGGAGCCCUAGUCACAGCUCUGACCACAAGGCUGAUAAUGGAGUCUUCCUUAUGCUGAUGAAUGAAGUGACCCUUAAUAAGAUGCAACCAGGCCAGAAAAAGCCAAAUGAGAAAGUUGGCAGCAUUAACUUCCAGGGACACCUGCAGCUGUGCAGAGAAGACUUUUCCAGAUCUACCUCUAGCUGGUGGUCGUGCAGAGGAAGGACUUUGUGCAGAUCCACGUGUUUCCAGAGUGAAGUCCCAGGGGUUAGGCUAGGCUGUGUGUGUAGCAGCUAUAGACCCAGACAUGACCAGGCAUCCUGCAGCCCCAAAAGGUGGCCUCCUGGGGGCUACAUGUAGGAGCAACCACACACCUUAUAAGAGGUGAGCUUCAGAUGGGAAAUUCUGUCCUCCAGAAUUCCUCUAAGGGAAACCACAGAGUUUGCUAGAAGGAAUGACUUGAUGAGCCCUCUUGGGGUAGGAGGAGAGGUCCUAGGGAGGGUGUGUUGGCUGGCUCCAAGACUUUGGGGUGAGGGUAGCAGUGUGAUAGAGGAGGGGAAUUUGGAUCCUCUAGAGGUCAAUCCAAGGAGAAGGUGAGGAGAAGAGGCAGGAGGAGGGAAGAGAGAAUACAGUAAGGCUGUGUGUUCCACAGUCAUUCCCCCUCACCCCAUCACCACUGUAUUUGACUCAGAACUUAAUCUAAAUGGAUGAAGGGACUAAGGUUGAGGUCUGCACGGCAGUGGGAGUAGGGAGGGCAGUGCGCUACAUGGGCAAAGUAGGAAUAGCACAUGGGCAUUCAGGAGCUGGACCCCUGAACAGAAGGUCUUGGAAUUAGCAGACAUUGUAGCCAGAACUUUAGACUCUCGGAGGCCAUACAGAUGGCUGGGACCCAAUCUCUGUAUCUCCAAGGAUAUCUGGGUUAUAUAUGGAAAGAGAGAAGCAAGCUUGGCUAAGAAUAAUGGGGAAAGCUGUGCCACUCAUAUUUCUAUUUCCACCCUCUCCCAGCAUCAAGCCAGCAAAUAAUAAGCUCAAUAAGGCAAUGAUCCUGAUGGAGCCCGUCAGCCACCUCUGGGAGUGUGAGGAAACUGAGAUCCAGACAGGGCAGUGAUGUGCCACAUUCCGCACCAUUUCUGGAAUGGUGUGCCAUUCUGUGCCAAUGCUGAACUCUGGAGGAGGAGAGAGACAACAGAGGACACCUGACAGCGUAUGGGAAUAAGAGUGGAGACCUUACUCCGGACUCUGGUCUGGCUUGGAAGCAUUCGAGAGGGGCUAGAAGUCCCUAAUUUUGUAGGUGGGAGAGGAACAGAGAAAUACUGUUUUGUUACUAUUGUCAUUUCUGUUUUGUAGACUCAGUUGAAUACCACUAGGACGGGUCACACGAUUUUGAAUGUGUUAACACCUCGGCCAUGGAGCAGCCAUCUGGUAGGAAAGCAUUUACCCAGGCAAAGUGCUCUGGUGAUUUAGAUGAGUCAGUGACUGGGUGACAACGGCCAGAAGUCAGAAAAUGGGGAGAAGAGGCACCAUGUGGCAGAGAUUAUGCUAGAUCAGCAUUCAAACACCUGAGUGCAAGUUCCUGCCCUAUUGGUGGGCAGAUUACUUAUUACUUAUUGUCUGUGAUACUCGAGAGACAUCAGUGAAACAGGAUAAUGUCCCCAAUGCCACAGCAACAGACCCCCUCAUCAAGGCACAACCCCAUAGUUUGUAAGCUGCUGCUGCAAUCCUUUCUGCCCCUGACUUUAUAAAUGAUCCCCUCUAAAGAAAAAAUGUAAAUUCAUGGUGAGUUUUGUAAGCCUCAAUUGUUUCACCUGUGAAAUAGAAUCAGUAACCCCUACCUCCUACGUCUACUACAUGUUUAUGAGAUAAUGGCUGUAAAUGUAUUUCACAAACUGUAAAGUGUUGCACGUGUAUAAAUGACCACCAUUAGGUUAAACCACCUGAUAUUCAGUCAUUUUAGAACUACUACAAAACAGAAAUUUCACAUGGUUCGACCUAAAACUAUCAUUUUUUUGUGAUUAUCAACAUUAGGCUGACAAAUCGCAUUUGUGGAGAUUUCAGAAAAAGGUAGGUUUAAAAAUGGACUUUUGGGGAUCCCUGGGUGGCUCAGUGGUUUAGCGCCUGCCUUUGGCCCAGGGCGUGAUCCUGGAGCCCCGGGAUCGAGUCCCAUGUCGGGCUCCCUGCAUGGAGCCUGCUUCUCCCUCUGCCUGUGUCUCUGCCUCUCUCUCUCUCUCUCUCUCUCUCUCUCUCUCUGUGUGUGUGAUCCUCAUGAAUAGAUAAAUAAAAUCUUUAAGAGAAAUAAAUAAAAAUGGACU
RNAcentral lists this long non-coding RNA (3380 nucleotides) under Vulpes vulpes (red fox). RNAcentral's name for it is "lncRNA (ENSVVUG00000016465.1)". The record is from RNAcentral. Lineage: Eukaryota; Metazoa; Chordata; Mammalia; Carnivora; Canidae.